This 464-nucleotide ribosomal RNA is filed under the name uncultured bacterium. Its description in RNAcentral is "bacterial SSU rRNA". It matches the Rfam family "Bacterial small subunit ribosomal RNA", at positions 26 to 507 of the family's 1533-position model. The record is from RNAcentral.
AGGACGAACGCUGGCGGCGUGCCUAACACAUGCAAGUCGAACGGAGUUAAGACUUCGGUUUUAACUUAGUGGCGGACGGGUGAGUAACGCGUGAGCAACCUGCCCUUGUGUACGGGAUACCGUCUGGAAACGGACGUUAAUACCGUAUGACCCAAUAGUACGGCAUCGUACAGUUGGCAAAGAUUUAUUGCACAAGGAUGGGCUCGCGUCUGAUUAGAUAGUUGGUGAGGUAACGGCUCACCAAGUCGACGAUCAGUAGCCGGACUGAGAGGUUGAACGGCCACAUUGGAACUGAGAUACGGUCCAGACUCCUACGGGAGGCAGCAGUGGGGAAUAUUGGGCAAUGGGCGAAAGCCUGACCCAGCGACGCCGCGUGAGGGAAGAAGGUCUUCGGAUUGUAAACCUUAAACAACAGGGACGAAACAAAUGACGGUACCUGUUAGGAAGCCACGGCUAACUACGUG